CAGCGACAGGGAAAUGUURGCUGAAGGGAGGAGCGGCAGAACAGGAACAUUAAGGGGUUGGGAGUAAUGCCGGCUGAGGUACGUUCACCCAUCAGAUGGCUUUAAACCGACAGCGAACGAGCCGACGUCACACGUGUUGGAACUACAGUAAAACAGCUCUGAGUGCAGCGAGGAGGGUCACCUCAAGUUCACGUGAAAGUUGUCAGAUGUGUGUUCCUGACAAAGUGACCUUCCUGCUGAAGACGAUUUCUCACCCCCACCCCCAGUCACAGUUCAUCUACCAUUAUUGGCACACUGCUCUAACUAAAAACAGAUGUUAAGAGCUGCUGGAAAAUAAAAAGAGCUAUUAUACGGUGUGUUCAUGAUCUAUUUUUAGUGUAAUACUGAUCAUGUAAAACUAAGAAAUGCAUUUUGUUUUUAAUAUUACUUUUAAAAUAUAUUUCAACACACACAAACAUCCAAUCUCAGCCUUUACUGUUCUUUUAUUUGAAUAUAAAAACUGAUUUUUUAAAUUUAUUUUUUUUCAGUCUGAGAAUCUGGAAAGCAAUGAAGUAA
Molecule: long non-coding RNA, 555 nt
Organism: Austrofundulus limnaeus
Lineage: Eukaryota; Metazoa; Chordata; Actinopteri; Cyprinodontiformes; Rivulidae
Exons: 2
Source: RefSeq, a predicted model, not a curated record